RNAcentral lists this transfer RNA (69 nucleotides) under Rhopalopsole subnigra. Its description in RNAcentral is "tRNA-Gln". The record is from RNAcentral. Lineage: Eukaryota; Metazoa; Arthropoda; Insecta; Plecoptera; Leuctridae.
UAUACUUUAGUGCAUGGGGCACAAACAAUUUUGAUGUUUUAAGAAAUAGUUCAAUUCUAUUAGGUAUAA